GAGCCGUUUUGAAGCACUCCUGUCCACGGCCAGAGCAGGUUCUCCUGCGUGCAAGGCUCGCCCAAGAACGCAAUGGCCAUCGUCCGGGAGCUCCUGAUGGAGACAGCGUACACGCCUGCGCUGCGCACCCAGUUGUUCAAGUCUGAGGACCUCAUCAAUGACGCCAACGAUCUUGCCGGCCACGACGGCGACGACGACUACUGCUAUCGCACGAGCCCUAAGAACAUCCACGAGGAAGACGGGACCACGGCCGCCGGAAGCCCCUCCACGAGCGCCGCCUACUGGGCGACGCACCGAGCUGAGCUGGCCAGGGCGUGUGAGCUAGUCUCCUCAGAGGUGCCGAGGUCGAGACUGGACGCCGCUAGCGUGCAGGCGGAGCGACGGGACAUCAGCGCCGACAUAGAGACCGCCUUGCUCGAUGCUUUGGUGCUGGAGUUCGUCAUGGAUCUCGGUGGCUGCUAA
This 462-nucleotide ribosomal RNA is filed under the name Triticum aestivum (bread wheat). RNAcentral's name for it is "partial small subunit ribosomal RNA". Lineage: Eukaryota; Viridiplantae; Streptophyta; Magnoliopsida; Poales; Poaceae. The record is from RNAcentral.